RNAcentral lists this ribosomal RNA (117 nucleotides) under Danio rerio (zebrafish). Lineage: Eukaryota; Metazoa; Chordata; Actinopteri; Cypriniformes; Danionidae. The record is from RNAcentral.
GUCACAGCUAUAUCACCCUGCAGCCCGACACUGAUUAACGACAGAACCUAAGUAGGGCUGAGCCUGGUCAGUACCUGGAUGGGAGACCCCAUUGUUAAAACUAGGUUGGUGUUGAAA